GAUGAACGCUGGCGGCGUGCCUAAUACAUGCAAGUAGAACGCUGAAGCUUGGCGCUUGCACCGAGCGGAUGAGUUGCGAACGGGUGAGUAACGCGUAGGUAACCUGCCUCUUAGCGGGGGAUAACUAUUGGAAACGAUAGCUAAUACCGCAUAAAAGUCGAUAUCGCAUGAUAUUGAUUUGAAAGGUGCAAAUGCAUCACUAAGAGAUGGACCUGCGUUGUAUUAGCUAGUUGGUGAGGUAACGGCUCACCAGGGCGACGAUACAUAGCCGACCUGAGAGGGUGAUCGGCCACACUGGGACUGAGACACGGCCCAGACUCCUACGGGAGGCAGCAGUAGGGAAUCUUCGGCAAUGGGGGCAACCCUGACCGAGCAACGCCGCGUGAGUGAAGAAGGUUUUCGGAUCGUAAAGCUCUGUUGUAAGAGAAGAACGAGUGUGAGAGUGGAAAGUU
RNAcentral lists this ribosomal RNA (452 nucleotides) under Streptococcus parasanguinis. Its description in RNAcentral is "bacterial SSU rRNA". It matches the Rfam family "Bacterial small subunit ribosomal RNA", at positions 28 to 470 of the family's 1533-position model. The record is from RNAcentral. Lineage: Bacteria; Bacillati; Bacillota; Bacilli; Lactobacillales; Streptococcaceae.